UGGGGAAUUUUGGACAAUGGGGGAAACCCUGAUCCAGCAAUGCCGCGUGUGCGAAGAAGGCCUUCGGGUUGUAAAGCACUUUUGUCAGGGAAGAAAUCCUUUGGGCUAAUACCCUAGGGGGAUGACGGUACCUGAAGAAUAAGCACCGGCUAACUACGUGCCAGCAGCCGCGGUAAUACGUAGGGUGCAAGCGUUAAUCGGAAUUACUGGGCGUAAAGCGUGCGCAGGCGGUUGUGUAAGACAGGUGUGAAAUCCCCGGGCUUAACCUGGGAAUUGCAUUUGUGACUGCACGACUAGAGUGUGUCAGAGGGGGGUGGAAUUCCACGUGUAGCAGUGAAAUGCGUAGAUAUGCGGAGGAACACCGAUGGCGAAGGCAGCCUCCUGGGAUAACACUGACGCUCAUGCACGAAAGCGUGGGGAGCAAACA
RNAcentral lists this ribosomal RNA (427 nucleotides) under uncultured Limnobacter sp. Its description in RNAcentral is "bacterial SSU rRNA". It matches the Rfam family "Bacterial small subunit ribosomal RNA", at positions 355 to 774 of the family's 1533-position model. Lineage: Bacteria; Pseudomonadati; Pseudomonadota; Betaproteobacteria; Burkholderiales; Burkholderiaceae. The record is from RNAcentral.